This 549-nucleotide ribosomal RNA is filed under the name uncultured marine haptophyte. RNAcentral's name for it is "SSU rRNA". It matches the Rfam family "Eukaryotic small subunit ribosomal RNA", at positions 659 to 1209 of the family's 1831-position model. The record is from RNAcentral. Lineage: Eukaryota; Haptophyta.
GUCUGCCGAUGGGUACGCACUGGUCGAACUCGUUCCUUCCUUCCGGAGACCGUGCCUACUCUUAACUGAGCGGGGGCGGGAGACGGAACGUUUACUUUGAAAAAAUCAGAGUGUUUCAAGCAGGCAGCUCGCUCUUGCAUGGAUUAGCAUGGGAUAAUGAAAUAGGACUUUGGUGCUAUUUUGUUGGUUUCGAACACCGAAGUAAUGAUUAGAAGGGACAGUCAGGGGCACUCGUAUUCCGCCGAGAGAGGUGAAAUUCUCAGACCAGCGGAAGACGAACCACUGCGAAAGCAUUUGCCAGGGAUGUUUUCACUGAUCAAGAACGAAAGUUAGGGGAUCGAAGACGAUCAGAUACCGUCGUAGUCUUAACCAUAAACCAUGCCGACUAGGGAUUGGAGGAUGUUCACUGAUUGACUCCUUCAGCCCCUUACGGGAAACUAAAGUCUUUGGGUUCCGGGGGGAGUAUGGCCGCAAGGCUGAAACUUAAAGGAACUGACGGAAGGGCACCACCAGGUGUGGAGCCGGCGGCUUAAUUUGACUCAACACGGG